CGAGUACGAGCUCGACGGCGGCUGAGCAUCGUCGGCUUCGGGAGUUGGAGACUCGCGAGUACGAGUACCCACAUGGGUCUGUAGAUUGAGAGAGCAGUCAGGCGGCGGCGACUCGCGAGUACGAGCUCGACGGCGGCUGAGCAUCGUCGGGUUCGGGAGUUGGAGAGGAUGAGGGGGAGGCGGCGGCGCGGCGGGCGCCUGGAGUCUCGGCAUCCGACCUCAGGUCCAAGCUGCCGACGGAGGCUGUUGCGCCGCGAGCACGCUGAGCCUGAGGUAGCUGGACGACGGCCACAGCGAUGCACGAGGAGGCGAGCCCGAGGCGGUGGGUGGCGGCGGAUCCAGUCAUGCUCCUCCUGAAUUCCCCGUCGUUGUGCUACCGAGGGCGUCUUCACCCAGAUCUCCUCACGCCGGUGCGCAUGGCGACUCCUGCCGCUGGUUCCGCCUGCCGGUCGCGACGACGUAAACGAAUAGAGCAUGUGCUCGCGGCGGAGGAUGCUCUCUCGCUCCCGCGGAACGCUUGCCUCGCCCGCCGCCACGGACAAGGCAACAAAAUGGAGCAUAUUCCAGAAGGAUUUAUUUUGCACAUAAAAGUGAUGGCUUGGGCCUUCGGCACCAUGGCGGCAUCAGUUUGCAUGUUGUCGCUCCACUUGUAUUGCUGGUUGCAAAGAAAGGUGCGAACAGUCCAUUAGGAGGUGAAACUUAAGCACUAUAUAGUGAAAAUUUCCCUAGCAUUGUGCAAGCUGCUGCUGUUGCAUUUAAAUCGGUUUGUCCAAAUCGACAGUCCGAGGCUCCAAUCGAUGCAGUC
This is a long non-coding RNA of Triticum dicoccoides, 805 nucleotides long. RefSeq lists it as uncharacterized. The transcript has 3 exons. The record is from RefSeq and is a predicted model, not a curated record. Lineage: Eukaryota; Viridiplantae; Streptophyta; Magnoliopsida; Poales; Poaceae.